RNAcentral lists this transfer RNA (74 nucleotides) under Gammaproteobacteria bacterium. RNAcentral describes it as "tRNA-Cys". It matches the Rfam family "tRNA". From Rfam's summary of the family: Transfer RNA (tRNA) molecules are approximately 80 nucleotides in length. Their secondary structure includes four short double-helical elements and three loops (D, anti-codon, and T loops). Lineage: Bacteria; Pseudomonadati; Pseudomonadota; Gammaproteobacteria. The record is from RNAcentral.
GGGCGUAUCGUCUAAUGAUAAGAUGACAGAUUGCAAACCUGUAGACUUGAGUUUGAUUCUCAAUAUGCCCUCCA